RNAcentral lists this ribosomal RNA (387 nucleotides) under Terrisporobacter glycolicus. RNAcentral's name for it is "bacterial SSU rRNA". It matches the Rfam family "Bacterial small subunit ribosomal RNA", at positions 36 to 432 of the family's 1533-position model. The record is from RNAcentral. Lineage: Bacteria; Bacillati; Bacillota; Clostridia; Peptostreptococcales; Peptostreptococcaceae.
CUGGCGGCGUGCCUAACACAUGCAAGUCGAGCGAUUUACUUCGGUAAAGAGCGGCGGACGGGUGAGUAACGCGUGGGUAACCUGCCUCAUACACAUGGAUAACAUACCGAAAGGUAUGCUAAUACAGGAUAAUAUAAGAGAUUCACAUGGAUUUCUUAUCAAAGCUCCGGCGGUAUGAGAUGGACCCGCGUCUGAUUAGCUAGUUGGUAAGGUAAUGGCUUACCAAGGCGACGAUCAGUAGCCGACCUGAGAGGGUGAUCGGCCACAUUGGAACUGAGACACGGUCCAAACUCCUACGGGAGGCAGCAGUGGGGAAUAUUGCACAAUGGGCGAAAGCCUGAUGCAGCAACGCCGCGUGAGUGAUGAAGGCCUUCGGGUCGUAAAACU